UACAGUGGCGUACGGGUGAGUAACACGUGGAUCAUCUACCUCGUAGUGGGGAAUACCCCCGGGAAACUGGGGAUAAUACCGCAUAAUCCUGUGAAGGGAAAGCCGAAAGGCGCUGUGAGAGGAGUCCGCGGCCGAUUAGCUAGUUGGUGAGGUAAUGGCCCACCAAGGCGAAGAUCGGUAGCCGGCCUGAGAGGGCACACGGCCACACUGGCACUGAAACACGGGCCAG
RNAcentral lists this ribosomal RNA (229 nucleotides) under uncultured bacterium. Its description in RNAcentral is "partial 16S ribosomal RNA". It matches the Rfam family "Bacterial small subunit ribosomal RNA", at positions 91 to 334 of the family's 1533-position model. The record is from RNAcentral.